RNAcentral lists this ribosomal RNA (254 nucleotides) under uncultured bacterium. RNAcentral's name for it is "partial 16S ribosomal RNA". It matches the Rfam family "Bacterial small subunit ribosomal RNA", at positions 524 to 776 of the family's 1533-position model. The record is from RNAcentral.
CACGUAGGGGGCGAGCGUUGUCCGGAUUUAUUGGGCGUAAAGAGCUCGUAGGCGGCUCGGUAAGUCAGGUGUGAAACCUCCAGGCUCAACCUGGAGACGCCACCUGAUACUGCCGUGGCUAGAGUCCGGUAGAGGAGCGUAGAAUUCCUGGUGUAGCGGUGAAAUGCGCAGAUAUCAGGAGGAAUACCAGCGGCGAAGGCGGCGCUCUGGGCCGGCACUGACGCUGAGGAGCGAAAGCGUGGGGAGCAAACAGG